CUUCAUGGAGAUACAGUAAUAGCCCCUACUCUAAUAGAACAUGAUAAACAUGAAAAGAAAUCAGGUAAUAACUGAUAACAGAACAAAAUAAGGUGAGAUAGCGUAGCCUGAGUGGGUGGGGAUGACCACUUAGCGAGAAAAGACUUCUCUGAACACUGAGGUCACCACUCGACCAGCGGAGGCCCACUGCGCUUAGCCAUAAGCAUAAAGCAUUCCAGUAGCAAAAUUAUUACACUCAAAACCAGGUUAGUAAUUUCUGGGCAUGUGAGAGCCAGUGUGGCUGGACUGCCACGUAGCAGAGGAGGAGCUGGGGUUGGAGGAAGUCAGGGACGGUCUUGGAUUUAUAAGCCAUGCUUACUGAACUUCAGGUAUAUCCAAAUCUCCAGAGAUUACCUGCCCAGCACGCCAGGUGAUGCCACUGCACCUGGGCCUGGCUCCUGCCUUGACCAGCAGGAGCUGGGUCCUCAGAGCAAGCAGCAUCACCUGGACAGUUCCUAGAGCACAUGCUCAGCGUAGCCUGGACCUACUUACUGAGUCAGGAACUUGGGGCCAGUCUCCGUGGGAGUGAUUGUGAUGCAUGCUAAUACUUAAAAACCAGUGCAAAGUGGGAAAAACGAUUUAGGAAAAGAUUGCACAAUUGCCCCCAAGGUGCUCCAAUGUACCAUUUGUACUUGUUUUCAACAGUUUGUCUGAUUUCCAGUCUAAAUGCUGGGGAUAGGGUCUGCUAGCACAGGUUGAGUGUCCCUACUCCUUCUAUCCAAAAUCCUUCUCCAAAAUCUGAAGCUUUGAGAGCGGACGUGAUGCCGCAACUUGGAGAUCCCAGGAUACUUCAUGUCCUGCACAAAAGCUGAUGAAUCAUGUACCUUCAAGCUGUUUGGGUAAGGUUUAUGUGAAACAUAAGUGAAGUUCAUGUUAAGAUUUGAGUCCCAUCCCCAAGAUGUUGUAUUACGAGUAUGCAGAUAUUCCAACAUCCAAAAAAUGUGAAAUCCAAAAUGCUCAUGAUUGCAAGCACUUGGGUACGGAAUACUCACCCUGUAGUGUAUAAUACAAGUCCCGCCCUUUACUGAUUUGUAAUCUGAGGACACAGAAACGCACUCGUGGGGACACCUGUCCGCACCACUUGGGACAACCACGUCCCAUGCUGGAGCCCCUGGAUUUGAGUCCUGGCUCUGCUUCAGAUCCAGCUCCUUGCUAACACGCACCCUGAAUGGCGGCAGAUGAUGGCUCAUGUAUUGGGUUCCCCCACUAUGUGGGAGACCCGUGAGUUCUGGGCUUCUGGGUUCUACUGGGCCCCAGCCCCAGCUAUUGUGGACAUCUGGGGAGUGGGCCAGUAGAAGGAAUAUAUUUCCUCUGUAUGUUUAAAGUACAUCCAAACAACAAAGAUUAAAAUGUAGAGUUCCAGGGAAAACUUCAUAAACAUAAACUCACUGACUGACUACGCAAGGUAAGAAAGGAGGGCUCUAAGGUAGGAUUUCUAGAAGAAAAAAGAAAUUGGAAGAAUCUCACCUAUAAGUUAUUGCUAUUAAUGUCUCCAUCAGCUUAAAUCCUUUCUUACCACUUUGAAAGACUUAACAGUGUUUUGAAUAGAUGCUGUUAAUUUGCCUUACUGCCCAAAAUAUAUUAGAGAUCUAGUCAAUGAUAGAUCUGGAAUAUAAGAACAAAACCUGUCUACUUAUAUUCAAAGUUACUUACCCGAGUUUAAGUUGAAAUUAUAGGCUAUGAGCCAUCAUUUAAUGUUUUAUUUCUUGUAUGUUUGUGUUCUGAAUCAAUGACAUUUAAUACUGAAACUCGUAUUUUAGUGCCUUUCUCCUCAUUAGCUGCAAUUCUCAUAACAAGUCUACAUACAGAAACCAGAGAAUACCUUCAUAUUUACUCCUCCCAGGGUGCUCUUGGAGCUGUCGCUGGUUCUGAGGUUGUUACAGUGAUGGAUCUCAUUCCUCUCCAGAAUGGCUAUGCUCCCAGGGUAGAGUUCAACACCAGCUCCCUGCCAAGUGGACACAGGGAAACAGUCGGCAAGCCACGGAGAGACUCCUCCCCCCCGGUGAGCACACUGGGACACGGGUGCAUACAUACGGAUUCCUUCACAGACACCCCGGCCGCUGCUCCCACCCACGUGAAUGCUCUAUCUAGAGUACAGACACCUUCAGUGUUCCAGUCGUUUAACAUAACCUCGUGCAAAUCCCUGGUGAGUUUCCUCAUCAUAGUGGAAGUUAAGCCAAGUCCUGUGGAGAAAGCUCCUCUUUCUCACUCAGUUCUCCAGCCCACUCGGGACAUUCGUGACUGCUGCCUUUUGGAUUAUUCAAAACACUGCCAGAACUAAUCACAAGUCUAAGAACCUGCAAGUAGCUUUUUCUGUGUUUCAUAACCAUCAUAUAACUGACUCAUGACCUGUGUUAUAUACACUGAUUUCUAACUUUUUUUUAAUUUUUAUUUUUAAAACUUUUUUUUUUUAUUAGAGUUAGUGAGAGAGAGAGACAGAAAUGUCUUCCUUCCAUUGGUUCACCCCCAAAUGGCCACUACAGCCAGAACUACGCCGAUCCGAAGCCAGGAGCCAGGUGCUUCUCCUGGUCUCCCAUGCGGGUGCAGGGCCCAAGCACUUGGGCCAUCCUCCACUGCACUGCUGGGCCACAGCAAAGAGCUGGACUGGAAGAGGAGCAACCGGGACAGAAUCCAGCGCCCAUGUGGGAUGCCGGCACCACAGGCGGAGGAUUAACCAAGUGAGCCACGACACUGGCCCUGAUUUCUAACUUUUUAAAAAAUCACAUUUAAAGUAAAGCUAAGGGGGCAGGCACUGUGGCUCAAUGGGUUAAAGCCACAGCCUGCAGCACGAGCAUCCCAUAAGGGCACCGGUUCAAAUCCUGGCUGCUCCACUUCUGAUCCAACUUCCUGCUAAUAUGUCUGAGAAAGCAGCAGAGGAUGGACCAAGUGCUUGGGCCCCUGUACCCACGUGGGAGACCCAGAAGAAGCUCCUGGGUCCUGACUUGAGCCUGUCCUAGCCUUGGCUGUUUUGGCCAUUUGGGGAGUGAACCAGUGGAUGGAAGAUUCUUUCGUUCUGCCUUUCAAAUAAAUAAAAACGGAAAAAGAAAAAAAAAAAAAAAACAGCUAAGGGCUGGCAUCGUGGCACAGAGAGUUAAGGGGAAGCUGUGACAGUGACAGUGGCAUCCCAUUGGAGUGCUAGCUGAGUCCUGCUGUUCUUCCCAUCCAGCUCCCCGCUAAUGCUCAUGGGAAAGCAGCAGAAGAUGGCCCAAGUGCUUGGGAGACCUGGAUGGAGAUCCAAGCUCCUGGUUUUUUGACUUGGCCUAGCCCAGCCCAAGCUACUGCAGCCACUUAGGGAGAGAACCAGCAAGUCAAAGAGUCAUCCUAAUUUUCUCUCUUUUUCUCUCUGCCUUCCAAAUAAAUAAAUCCUUUAAAAAAAAAAAAAAAACAGUUCCCUACUCUGGGCUCUGCAGUUGACUUUCCUAAAAGUACAGUGACACUGGCCUGACGUACACCCAUUGCUGAAUUUAACUGUAAUUCUAUCAAAUAUUCAAAGUCAGCUCUCGCCCCUUGUUGCAUGGGCUCGCUCAGGGUUGCUGUGGUCACGUGAAGCCCCACGCUCUGCAGGGUGCAGUACCUGGGCCCCCGUUAUCUCACUGUCUGUGACUGUCAAGGCGGCCCCCGUGAGCACACACACUCCUGUUCCUUCACAUUUUAGCACGCAGUUCUCCAGAGUCAGGUGGCCAGACUCCACCACCACAAUGCCAUCGACUGUGCCUUGUUGUAUCAGAGACAGAUGCAUCAGCUUAACGUUGUCGGCUUUGGACACCACAAAGCUGUCGUGAGAAGGCUCGGAAGUGAUCAGGAUGUCCUCUCGCCUGCCAACUCCUAGUUCACAGGGACGAGAACACACGGCCAGUUAGCCUGCAGGAUGUUUCAGUGUCUGCCAUUGUCUUAACAAUUGCGGAUGUGAUUAUUCAGUUGUUAGCCAAGUAAAUACCUAACUAUGAUGUCAUAUUUCAUCUUUAUUCUGCUGCCAUGAUGGGAAGAUCUGCGUUAUGAAUGGGCCUAUGGAUUCUUUCAUUAUAAAUACUCAUACUUCCCAAUCUUACAAUUAACAGUCAUGUCCGAGAUACACAAAAUAGGCCAUGGUUCAAUAAUCGUCAGACAAAGACUAGCAGAGACUCCUGAGUUAAAGUACAUAUGAGAAUAUUUCAAAAAGAUUGUGGAAAUUUUGAAUUAAUUUGGUGCAAAAAGUUUUGAAAUCCUUACAUAUUUUCUCCACUUUCUAUAAACUUUUUGAAGACCCUGGAUCAUAUUGCCCACACAGUUCAGCAGAAUACUGCUUCCUACAGUCAUCAAAAUAAAGCAAAGAUUUUGCUUGAUUUUGAAAUUGAUCAGUGAAUGUUACUGUUUGAAUAAGCUCUGACCCAUGAAUUCAUGCAACAGCUUAAACCCCAAAGUUCUAAACGGCACUAAGUGGGUGUCUGCUUAACCCAGUUAAGAUGCUCACAGGGAGCCUUCGGGAAGUGGCUGUGCCUGGACUAGUUUUGAGCCUGUGGUUGAAUCUGGUGCUUUCUCAGGAGAGAGCCCGCAGACUGAACGCACAACACGCCCUCCCCCUCUCCAUCGUGAUGUGUGCUGCUGCCUUGGGACUCUGCCAACCAAGGCCCCGACACCUCGUACCUCCAGAAUGAGGAGCUGUAAUAAGCUUCUUUUCUGUAUGAAGGUAACCUGCCUGCUUCAAGUAUUUUGUUAGAGUAAAAAAAGCUAACACUGCAGUUUGGGUCAGCAUCUCUGUUCUUGUGGCAAGACAGACAACGGGAAUACCUCUACUGUGAAGUUAAAGGGACAGGUACUAAAUAAGUUUAGAAUCUGCUAUUCUGCUUCUGUUUUGGUAGGCCACCAUGUGAGCCAGCCUUUUUGAGAAAAUGCUGAGUAUAGUUUAAUGUAGCCUUACAACUCAGAUUCCUGCUAGAGUCAUGGUGAAGAGCAGUGGAGAUAAAAUGGUUCUACAAAACAGAUGGAGCUGGUAGAAAAUGCGGUGAGCAGAUGCUACGUGUGAGACACAUAAGGUAACUUUUGUGAUGUCACUCUGACAUUGAUCAGGUUAAUAACAGUUUAUCUAGCAUACAUUGAUUUAAGAAAAGCCACAGAGAACGCGCUGCAAACCCCUUAUGACGAUGUCCUCAGUGAGCACAGCGAGGUUCGAAGCCUGGUACUCUCCCGGGAAGAUGACCACGGUGUCCCCGCUGUAACAGCUGUCCAGAGCCACGUCCAGGUCGCCGUGCUGUUGCAGGAGAGUGUCUGAGGACAAGCCCUUCACCUGAAAAAGCAGACCAGGUGCCCCCUUCAACAGCAGGAAUGCUGGGUGUUUGAACAUUAAAGACGGGAUCCCCUCCUAAGCCUCACAACAGUUCUUGGAGAAACUAGAAAAGGAAGACCACACUAGGCCCAGAGCUCACAGAAGAAAAUAAUCAGGAUUAAAGGAGAGAUCACUGAACUCCUAAACUCAAAAACAGAAUCAGUGAAAUCAGAAGUUGGUUUAUUGAGAAGAUCCACAAAACUGACAAACUUUCAGCCAAACUGGCUAAGAUAAAACAGAAGGCACAAAUGACUGAGUGAAAAUGAGGACGUUGCCGUCAACUUUAUGGAAGUCGUGAUGACUUUAGGAGUAUUCUGUGAACAAUUGUAUACCAAUAAAGAUUAGGAACCCAAACUCCUAGGGACAUAUAAAUUUCCAAAACUGACUCAACAAAUAGAAAAUCUGAACAGAUGACGCUGAUAAUCAAAACCUUCCCAGCAAAGAAAAUCCAGGACAAGGGCGUUUCACUGGUAAGUUCAACCAAACAUCUAAAGAAUUAACACCACACUAGCCAGAGGCCCAGAUGAAAACCACAGACCAAUCCACGUAAAAUCCCACAAUGAAAUAUCCCUAGAGGUGGCAGACUGGAGAAGCAGCGUUUGACAAAGUCCAACAGUGUUUCAGGAUUAAAGAAAAAACACUCAGGAAAUGGGAUGGGGGGCUUCUUCACACGAUAAAGGCAGUUUAUGGAAAGCCCACAGCACCACCACACUCAGCGCUGAGAGCUGACAGCCACCCCAGGUGUUGUUUUCUAGGGCUGCCGUUACAAAACACGAUGGAGCUGGUGACUUCAGAACCAGACGUUUUUCCCACGAGACGGAGCUGCCAGCAGUUUGGUUUCUUCCGAGCCCUCUCGGCUCCGGUGGCUUCCUCGGCACCUGCUCAUCUCUGUGCAUAGCCUUGCUGUCACCUUCUGAGCCCAAACCCCAGUGGCUGCAUUUUCACGUCAUCGCCUCUUUAAAGACCUGGGUGCUGGGCGCUAGGAGCUGCCAAGUCUUCUGGUAAGAUCCCUGAGGGCAGGAGAAAGACAAGGGCGCCCACCUGGACCACUGGUGCUCAACACGGUACUGACGUUUCCAGCCAAAGCGACUGGCAGGAGCGAGAACAAGCAACUGCGCAGGAAAGGAGGAAGCAAAGCCAGCACUGCAUCCCGGGGCACGAACAGCAGGGCGGCCAUAGUGAAGGCGUUCAGCUUUGUGGACGGGACGCUAGGGCACACGUGAUUACUCACAUGGGUCUAACUCCCUAUGGGAUAGAAUCCACUACUCUCUCUUACAGAUCAAGGAAUAUGAAAUAACAGGUAACUUACUUAAUUUCACAUAAAUAGUAGGAAGCAAAACCUUUAGUCAAACUCAGAUUUUUAAGAUUCAAGGCCUGUGUCUUGGGGGUUCUUGUGGCAUCAUGGUUUAAGGUGCUGUCUGCAGUGCCAGCAUCCCACGUGGGCGCCCAUUCAAGUCCUGGCUGCUCCACUUCCCAUCCAGCUCCCUACUGUGGCCUGGGAAAGCAGUGGAGGAUGGCCCAAGUGCUUGGGCCCUGCACCUGCAUGGGAGACCCGGAAGAAGCUCCUGGCUCCUGGCUUCAGCCUCGCCCAAACGCGGCUGCUGUGACCAUCUGGGGGGAAUGCAGUGGACAGAGAUCUCUAAUUCUGCCUUUCAAAUAAAUACAAUAAAUCUUAAAAAAAAAAAAAAAAAAAGCAGGCCUAUGUCUCCACUGCCACACCAUACUUUUUCCACAAAACUCUUUGGAAAAACAUAAGGAAGGAGCCACAGCCCAGAGACCUGUGCUCAACAAAGAGUAAAGCACUGUUCCUGACGGGCCUCGAGCCCAGGCACCGGGCU
Molecule: long non-coding RNA, 7179 nt
Organism: Lepus europaeus (European hare)
Lineage: Eukaryota; Metazoa; Chordata; Mammalia; Lagomorpha; Leporidae
Exons: 3
Source: RefSeq, a predicted model, not a curated record